Molecule: non-coding RNA, 117 nt
Organism: Homo sapiens (human)
Lineage: Eukaryota; Metazoa; Chordata; Mammalia; Primates; Hominidae
Rfam family: Metazoan signal recognition particle RNA
About the family: The signal recognition particle (SRP) is a universally conserved ribonucleoprotein.
Source: Rfam
GCCGGGCGUGGUGGCUCACGCCUGUAAUCCCAGCACUUUGGGAGGCCAAGGUGGGUGGAUCACUUGAGGUCAGGAGUUCGAGACCAGCCUGACCAACAUGGUGAAACCCCAUCUCUA